This 2059-nucleotide Piwi-interacting RNA is filed under the name Cordylochernes scorpioides. The stretch from base 1475 to 2059 matches the Rfam family "Eukaryotic small subunit ribosomal RNA", at positions 1 to 292 of the family's 1831-position model. Lineage: Eukaryota; Metazoa; Arthropoda; Arachnida; Pseudoscorpiones; Chernetidae. The record is from RNAcentral.
CUUUUACGUAUCUACCUCCAAACGAACUCCAACUAGAGAAUAUAUAUAUUACGAUCAAGAUACACAAUGGGCUGGAGAUAAUUUUAUACGGUGAACUAAACAUUCGCACCAACCACCUUGGAGACUUUCUUGUUCCUGUAUAUACCCUCUUCUACGUGGAGAAGUUAUGUAAGACCAAAAGGUCAUAACAGAUACUUUUGUUGUUGUUACUACUGUUAUUCUUGUGUGUACCCUACAUUUCUGUGCUUGGAGAAUCCGUAUAAGACUAAAUUGUCUUAAUAAAGCUUUUUGUUGUUGUUGAUUUCUGUUCUACCAGAUGGCGCUCUGCCUUCUGUAAAGCACAUGUGCUCCUGGUCAGGUAUGCCAUUUUUAUUUUUGAUCUAUUUAGUCUGUAUUUAUUAAGGAAUACGAGUAAGUACCUAGUAAGGGUGUUUAAGGAAGCUAUGGAUAUAAGGUUAUAGGAUUGUAGAACUCAGCGUUUACAUACAUAGAAGAAUGCUUUUCCGAAAGUCCAAAACAAAGCCUGGAAUAUAUCUAAAAAUGUUCGUAUCAUUGAUACUCAAUAAGAUCCAAUCAGGGUACAAUAAUGAUAGUGAGAAUUCAAAAUUCAAAGAUAAAAGUAAAGUUUUGACAGAAAUACACUUUUAUAUCUCUUCCAAAAAGAAGAGAAAGAGAGAAUUGUGGAGUUGCAGCUCUAACAAGUAUAGAAACACACAGACUUACCCGUUGAAUCCCAUGUGUUUGACAAUGGUACCGCUGAGAGCAGGUCCUGCAAACACCGUGAAGACAUCUCAAGAUGUUUGACUCGAUGUAGACAUAGGACAAACUGACCUACGGCGUAUCCCAGGCAGAAGGAGACGUCUCCAAUGGCGUAGACACUGCCGUAGAUGGAUGUAUGGCGUAUAUCAACCAGGUAGCCCAACAUAGGCAUCAUGGAAGAAUCAACCAUUCCUGCAUCAUUCCAGUAGAUGGCAUCAUCAAAGUCAGAUAUGUAGAUACAAACGUUCAGCUAACUUGCUGAGUAGAAUUUAAGUAGAGAAUCGUAAAGAUAGAAGCUGCCUGGCCAGCAUUCAUAUUUCUUUAGAUUAAUCAAAUAUAAAUCUCCGAGGAUAAGUUUCUUUGUUAUCCUCGGGGAGAGGGAGUCUCGCGGCGGGGACCGGCGAAGGAUACCUGGUUGAUCCUGCCAAUAGUCAUAUGCUUGUCUCAAAGAUUGAACCAUUCAUGUCUAAGUACACGCCCUUGCAAGUUGAAGCUACGAAAGGCUCAUUAAAUAUGUUAUGGUCCCUUAGAUUGUACAUGUUUACUUGGUUUAUGUCCCUCUCUGGUUGAUCCUGCCAGUAGUCAUAUGCUUGUCUCAAAGAUUGAGCCAUGCAUGUCUAAGUACACGCCCUUGCAAGUUGAAACUACGAAUGGCUCAUUAAAUCUGUUAUGGUUCCUUAGAUUGUACAUGUUUACUUGGAAAUUUGUCUUUCUUUCUCUGGUUGAUCCUGCCAAUAGUCAUACGCUUGUCUCAAAGAUUGAGCCAUGCAUGUCUAAGUACACGCCCUAGCAAGUUGAAACUACGAAUGGCUCAUUAAAUCUGUUAUGGUUCCUUAGAUUGUACAUGUUUAUUUGGAUAACUGGGGUAAUUCUAGAGCUAAUACAUGCAAUAUUAUCCUCGGGGAUUUAUAUUUGGUUAAUAUAAUCAACACAGAGGAUUAUAAUUCUAAUAAUUCAUAUUUAUAUUUUAAAAAAAAUAGACAUUUCGGCUAGUUUUAUUUUCUCAUAAAACUUUAUCUGGCCAAAGUGUCUAUUUUUUAAAAGAAAUAAGUAGAGAAAAUAUUUUUUCAAAAAUAUCAAUACUCUAUAAAAUUGGGGUAAAAACAUCAGGAUUCUCUCUCCGAGAUACGUUUCUUUUACAAAUAUUUAAUACGAAUUUAGAGCUUUUGCAAAUGCAAGCCCCUCUGCAGGAGAACACAAUAUACUUUGAAACUAUUUUGUAUAACCUCAUAUAAUGUGGUACAAAAUAUUUUUUAAGCUAAAUAUUAGUAUAUAUUAAAAAAACUUUCUUUUCUUGAGG